Molecule: unclassified non-coding RNA, 406 nt
Filed under: soil metagenome
Description: partial contains 5.8S ribosomal RNA, internal transcribed spacer 2, and large subunit ribosomal RNA
Rfam family: 5.8S ribosomal RNA (bases 1-121)
Source: RNAcentral
GAUGAAGAACGUAGCGAAAUGCGAUAAGUAAUGUGAAUUGCAGAAUUCAGAGAAUCAUCGAAUCUUUGAACGCACCUUGCGCCCUUUGGCCAUUCCGAAGGGCAUGCCUGUUUGAGUAUCAUGAACACCUCAACUCUUCAUGGUUUUCCGUGAUGAGCUUGGACUUUGGGGGUCUUGCUGGCCUAUGGUCAGCUCCUCUAAAAUAAAUCAGCUUGCCAGUGUUUGGUGGGUAUCACAGGUGUGAUAACUAUCUACGCUUGUGGUUUUCCACCAGGUAACCUUCAGCAGUGGAGGUUCGCUGGAGCUCACAGAUGUGUCUCUCCUCAGUGAGGACAGCUCUUUGAAUGUUUGAUCUCAAAUCAGGUAGGACUACCCGCUGAACUUAAGCAUAUCAAUAAGCGGAGGA